Molecule: transfer RNA, 73 nt
Filed under: Stegodyphus mimosarum
Lineage: Eukaryota; Metazoa; Arthropoda; Arachnida; Araneae; Eresidae
Rfam family: tRNA
About the family: Transfer RNA (tRNA) molecules are approximately 80 nucleotides in length. Their secondary structure includes four short double-helical elements and three loops (D, anti-codon, and T loops).
Source: Rfam by way of RNAcentral
GCCUUCAUGGUGUAGUGGUCAGCACGCUCGACGCGUAACUUAGAGGUCCGUGGUUCAAGUCCCGACGAAGGCA